RNAcentral lists this ribosomal RNA (315 nucleotides) under uncultured bacterium. Its description in RNAcentral is "bacterial SSU rRNA". It matches the Rfam family "Bacterial small subunit ribosomal RNA", at positions 123 to 440 of the family's 1533-position model. The record is from RNAcentral.
AACGUACCCAGAAGUGGGGGAUAACGUAGCGAAAGUUACGCUAAUACCGCAUACGUUCUACGGAAGAAAGUGGGGGAUCGCAAGACCUCAUGCUUUUGGAGCGGCCGAUGUCUGAUUAGCUAGUUGGUGAGGUAAAGGCUCACCAAGGCGACGAUCAGUAGCUGGUCUGAGAGGACGACCAGCCACACUGGGACUGAGACACGGCCCAGACUCCUACGGGAGGCAGCAGUGGGGAAUUUUGGACAAUGGGCGCAAGCCUGAUCCAGCAAUGCCGCGUGAGUGAAGAAGGCCUUCGGGUUGUAAAGCUCUUUUGUC